AAAUAUAAUUUGUAAAUAUAUUAAUGUUUACAAUUGCUGUGUAGGUUCUGCAGUGGGCUCUUUAGAGGAUAAAGCUUUUUUACUUCAGUGAAGACAUGAGAGACAGACACAACCCUUCUCAAUAUGUCAUCAAAUGCAAGUUUCAAAAGACUUCUAUGUAUGCGAAGAAGAGCUGAAGCAAUUGAAAGAGUUCUGCAGUGGGGUCUUUAGAGGAUAAAACUUUUUUACUUUAGUGAAGACAUGGGAGACAGACACAACCCUUCUCAAUAUGUAAUCAAGAUUGAUGCUAAAGGGGUGAAGGGCAUAUCAGUGAUAGCUGUAAAGCUCCUAGAAUAAAGAAAACAGGGCUUGAGCUGAACAAAAGAGAAAAGGUGUUAUCUUUUCAAUGCCUGAAACUCAUGCCUCAACAUUCUCUAUACAAAGCAAAAGGUCGAUGAUAAUCAUGUUAAGGAUUUUCGAGUUAAGCUUGAUCUUCAAUUAUCAGAUUUUUAAGGAUCCUAAGGUGCAAGGAAAAUCAAGGCUAUAUUUAAGAUAUUUAAUAAAUAUAUAAAUAAGAAAACCGAAUGAUUUUCCUUCAAAUUGAAUUUGAAAAACCAACUGGUUUUGCUUCGAAAUAUAUCAUGUACGAAAUCAAAUAUUGGUAUAUAUAGUCAUAUAGUAAUAAUUCUAA
Raphanus sativus (radish) is the source of this 670-nucleotide long non-coding RNA. RefSeq lists it as uncharacterized. Lineage: Eukaryota; Viridiplantae; Streptophyta; Magnoliopsida; Brassicales; Brassicaceae. The record is from RefSeq and is a predicted model, not a curated record. The transcript is spliced from 7 exons.